ACGAAUAUUCCCGCGCGCUUCUGUCGGCCUAAACAGGGACAGAACGCUGACUCACUGUCCGUCAGUCUGAAGACAACCUGCCUCAGCACAACCUUAUUCCAUGUAGACUGCAUUAUCUAGGCUACACAGCUCCAAGUCCGAACAUGGGGAAGAAACGAAGGAAUUUGAACUACAAGGAGGACAUCAGAUCGUUUUUCAGUCCACCAAAACGCGCAGAAGUGGAUCCUGAAAAGGGAAGUGGAGACGCCCAGGGAGAAGAGUUGAACAACCAGGACAGAAACAUGACGCCAAGACGCUCUAUACUUAAGGAUUUGAAUCACAAACCAAAGAUAAAGACUGAGGAAGCUGCUGGGUCAGAGUGACUAUACAAUCAGCAAUAUUAACGUCAAAACCAUUCUGCUGACCCCAAGACAAGGAAAGAAAACUCUUUAACCUUUUCAAUAAUUACAAAUUCCCAUCACUCCCAAUAACAACUAGUCACCAAUCUUUUAAUUUGAUCA
Molecule: long non-coding RNA, 500 nt
Filed under: Neogobius melanostomus (round goby)
Lineage: Eukaryota; Metazoa; Chordata; Actinopteri; Gobiiformes; Gobiidae
Description: lncRNA (ENSNMLG00000020928.1)
Source: RNAcentral